AGUCUGGUGCCAGCAGCCGCGGUAAUUCCAGCUCCAAUAGUGUAUAUUAAUGUUCCUGCAGUUAUUUGAUGCUCGUAGUUGGAUUUCUGGGGGCUGAGAUUGGAAGGUGGCCAAGGUCACCGCCGAACUCUUCCUUCAUCCACCUGUUAACGUUGUCCGGGAUUUGUUUCUCGGCUUCAGGCUCAGGUAUUUUACCCUUUCUAUAUAUUCAUUUAUUUAUCUUCUUUUUGAGUAAAUUAUAGUGUUUCAGGCAGGCGUGCGCCGGAAUACUUUAGCAUGGAAUAAUCGAAUUGGACCGUGUAUUCUUAUAGAAUUCUUCCUUAUUUGUUGGUUUCAAGGACACGGAAAUGGUUAAUAGGGAUAGUGUUUUCAGGGGAGUCAUUAGUAUUUAAUCUCCAGAGGUGAAAUUCUUUGAAAUAUUAAAGACUAACUUAUGCGAAAGCAUUUAUUUUGCCAAUAAUGUUUUCAUUAAUCAUUGAACGAAAGUUAGGGGAUCAAAGACGAUCAGAUACCGUCCUAGUCUUAACCAUAAACGUUGCCGACUAGGGAUCGGAGGGCGUGCACAUUCCGCCUUCGGCACCUUACGAGAAAUCAAAGUCUUUUGGGUUCUGGGGGUAGUAUGGUCGCAAGGCUGAAACUUAAAGGAAUUGACGGAAGGGCACCACCAGGAGUCGAGCUUGCGGCUCAAUUUGACUCAACACGGGAAAUCUUACCAGGUCCAGACAUAGCGAGGAUUGACAGAUUGAUAGCUCUUUCUUGAUUCUAUGGGUAUUUAUUUUAAUUUUGGUGGUGCAUGGCCGUUCUUAGUUGGUGGAGUGAUUUGUCUGGUUAAUUCCGUUAAACGAACGAGACCUCAGCCUGCUAAAUAGUUACCUGUCUUUCUUUUACGAGACUUGAUAACUUCUUAGAGGGACGUUGUGUGCAACCACAAGGAAGUUGAGGCAAUAACAGGUCUGUGAUGCCCUUAGAUGUCCUGGGCCGCACGCGUGCUACACUGAUACGUACAACAAGGUAUAUGCAUUUAUGCAUCGAUGCUGCUCCGAAAUAGACACAGCUAAAUCUUCUAAAAUACGUAUCGUGCUGCGGAUAGAUCGUUGAAAUUAUGGAUCUUGAAGGUGGAAUUCCUAGUAAGCGCGGGUCAUCAACCCGCGUUGAUUACGUCCCUGCCCUUUGUACACACCGCCCGUCGCUCCUACCAAUUUCGAGUGGCUCGGUGAACCUCUUUGGACUGUCGAGCAAUCGCGAAAUUAGAGUGAACCUGGUCAC
This 1266-nucleotide ribosomal RNA is filed under the name metagenome. Its description in RNAcentral is "SSU rRNA". It matches the Rfam family "Eukaryotic small subunit ribosomal RNA", at positions 558 to 1772 of the family's 1831-position model. The record is from RNAcentral.